This 2148-nucleotide long non-coding RNA is filed under the name Phoenix dactylifera (date palm). RNAcentral's name for it is "long non-coding RNA (PDAC_LNC011171)". Lineage: Eukaryota; Viridiplantae; Streptophyta; Magnoliopsida; Arecales; Arecaceae. The record is from RNAcentral.
UUGGGCAUAAUCCAUCUUCAGUUGGCAUGAAAUGUCUACCCUAAUCUAAGGUGGCAGCACAUCGCAUCUUCCCUAAGCAUGGACUAUCUUAUAUUUACUUAGUGAUCAUGAAGAACAGUUGUAUAAACAUCAUAUUUAAAAUCACAGAAAUUAAAUAUGAUUCAAAAGAAGAUAUCCAUUAAAAACAAUAAGUUCAUACAACCCCAAGAAUAUAAAAUCAAAUAUAAAACCCGUGUCCCUUUGUUAGGGCUGCAUCCAGCCCUAGAGAGAAGAUCAGCCUUUCAUGGAGUGGUGGACGGCAGCAGCAGCACAGCAGCGGGCUCCCAUUCCUUCCUUCUCUUUCCCCUUUGAAAUAUUCCCAUAAUAGCCAAACCUCUCUCCCUCCUUUGUUUUUUUAUUGUCGUGGUAACUCCCUGAGAAGAGCCAAGCUUCUUCUUCUCCCGGUGGGGAACUUCGCCUCUGAGGAGAGAUUGAUGGGGAUCAGUCCCCGGUGGGGAAGAGGGAAUGCCCCCCGGUGGGGAAGGAGGAAUGGAAGAGAAUGCCUCUAGCCUUUAUCAUCGACUCCCUUUUAUAGCCUUCACAGCCUCUGUUAUCAACCUUUAGAUAUAUUCUUCCGAGUGAGAAGAUAAAGGAGAGGAACGGUCUCUGUUCCGCGGACGUGGGUGAGUCUCUUGAGAAGAUCCAAUCCAGACGUUGGGAGCUGAUCACGUUUGGCUUAAUCCUUGGAAGCUUAUCCUCGGAUGCUGGAACGCGUUGGAUGGAGUUGAUCCGGAAUGCUGGGAGGAUAAUCCUGAGUUCGGUGGGUGAUGAAGAUGUGAUCCUAGAAUUUGUUGAACUUGUUUUGCUGAGGGAAGCAGCUGGCAGUGCGGAUGAACCUUGCUCCACUGGGAAGAAUCUGGAAGAGACUAACGAGGCUUCAACGUGGAGAGAAUCUCGGACGGAAAGAGCUGGGACUUUACUGGCUUGAGCCGUGAUAAGAUGGUACCCUGUUCUGAAGCAUAGGAUAAGGAUGCAAAGCUGCGAGGAAGCUGAAAGAAGAUUUGAUGGUUUAGGAUGCGGGAUAAUGAUGAAAUUGAUCGAGUUGUUGGUUGAUCCGUGGGAUAAAGAUGAAUUCAGAACAGGGGAACUGGGACGUAUCUUGGAUGUUAUUCGGAGAAGAGGAUGGGGCUUGGAUGAUGAUAGGAAGGCUGGGAGCUAGCGGAAUCUAGUUGGGAUCAUUCGGCUAUGGGUGUGUGAGAAGAUCUCGGAACAGGGGAGUGAUGCAAGACGCGGGCGGCUGGCAGCUGGGACUUGAGCUUAUCCGGGAGAGGAUGCUCUGUUCCGUGAAGCUUGGAUGGAGUGUUUGAUUCGAAUGGGAUGAAGCCAAAUCGUGGGAUGAUUGCAGACGAAAUCUGGGAGGAGGUGACGUGGAGAUUAAUCCGGAAGAAGGUUGCUGUUUCGAAACAGGGGAAGAGGAUGCUGUUGUUAGCUUGAUGUGGCUGAGAAGAAGUCCGGAUUGGGAUGAAGGUGGAUCACGGACGAAGGAUACGGCUGGGGAAGAAGCUGGGAUCCGGUUCUAAUCCGUGAAGCUGGGGAAGUUUGGAUAAAGAUUGGUUGGUUUGGGAGGACGUUUGGAUUCGGCUGGGUCUUGGUUCCGAACGGGAGGAAGAAGAGGAUCUGCUUGGGAACUAACGGUUGCUGGGUUCAUGCGGACGGAAGAGAAAAUGAUUUGCUGGAUCCAAAUGAAACGCACACGGGAGGUUUGAGCCGGAAGCAAGAGGAAGAAGCUGGAAGUGUUCCAUAAAUUGCGGACAGGAGGGAAGAUGAUCUCUGUUUUGGGAUGUUGAACGGAAUGAAGAUAAGAUGACGUGCCUGAUGCUAGGGUUCGGAGAAGAACAUGGAAGCAAAUUCGGAUGGGGUCUCGGCUGGAAUUAAUCCCAAAACAGAGGAAUCCGGAAGACUUAUCCUGGGAUCUAGCUGAGGAUGCUUCGAAUGGGAGGAUUUGGCUCACGGGAAGCUUGGGAAUCUAGUUGGGAUAAAGAUUGGGAGGAAGGGAUUUGAAGCUUAUCUGGAAGUUGAAGAUGAUCUUGCGGACGAUGGAGAAUGGGAAGUCGGCUGAAAGGAAAUGAGCUUGGGAUUUGGAGUUUAUCCUACAGGCGAAGAGGAGGG